CAUAACUCAUGGAUAUUUGUCAAUGCAGGUUUCUCAGUAUGCAGUCUGCACUGGUUUAAUAUGUGACGAGACAAGCAAUCCAUUGAGAAUGGCAGUGGAUAAGAUGCAGAUAAGCAAGAAAGAGAAAUUAAGGAUGAAAAGACAGAGCAGUUUCUGAAAAUUCAGAUUGUGCACUUCAGAAUAAUACCAUAAAGGCUCAUCACUUUAAUCAGUUAUUGAUUACACCGUGGGGACAUUCUACAGAUUCCACUCAAUGCUACUUUUAAAAUGACAUCUGGUCUAAGACAAGGGAGAUUAAGAAGCCAGAAAUUACUAUUCUUCACAGGCAGAGUCACCCAGGAAUCCAAUCUGUGUGACUGCAGCUACUUGCGUACGUUCAUCUACCAGGAUCCAGCACUGAGCUACGAUUCGCAGUUUUAGCACCACUACAACAACCCAGAGGUCAAUAAAUCUGUCCCAUUAGAACAGUGUACUUUCUGACAAUCUGCUACACUGCUUUACAAAAUCGUCAUGGGAGGAAAUAUCUAGGUUUGACUUAACCAACCAUCUGUCUACACAAAAAGUCAAAAUGUGUAAAUUUACAUACAAUGUUUUGCUGCCCAAUUGCAGCCAUUAAGUAUUAUUCCUUUCCCCCACCCUUUACUUUAAAAAAGAGACUAUUUUCUAUCAGUUCAAUAGUGGCAUAUGCAUUUUCUGUAAAGAAAAUAAGCCAAAGCAAUUGGGCAUGCAUCAGCAUGCAAGAAAGCAUGCUCUGGGUUGGAAUACACAGCUCAGUGCACAGGCUUGCUGUUUGCUGCUAUCCUGAAGUGCAGAAUAUCUGCACAAUUAUAAGGCAUACUCAGUGGCAGCAGGAGGCAGCACUUGUAGUUUAGUCUGCUUCUACACUCUGCUUUCACAGAUUGUUUUGAACCAGAUGGACAUUAGUCUAAGUAGCAUUUACACAAGUUCAAAUAAAUUACACAUUCUUAGUCCUAACUUCCUGCUUCAGUACAGUGUUUUCAUCUAUCCUGAAGUAAGAACAAAAUGAAUCAUGCACGUCUAAAUGGAUGCAUUGGGCAUGCUAAAUAAGGAAUAGGUAUAAUCAUUUAUAGUAAAAGCAAUUAGAUCACAAGUAAUGUGCUUAAACUCUUAAAGCACCAAUUGUUUAAUUUCCAGCUACUUGAGACUAUGAAACCAUUACUUGAAAAUUCAAUAACGUUUGGUUUAUAGAGAACCAAACUGCAAGAUUUUAGCUUUCCAUGGUUAAUUGAUCACAUUUGCUUUCACUCGUUUUUAGAUUUUAUUGUUAGUGAAGAAAAUCUGCUUAAUACUGAAAGCUGAAAAUGCAGUGUGAAAUAAAUUGAACUUAAUAAUGAAAAACAUGGCCUGUUGCACUUUUUGGUCAUUUUUCUUAUUUAAUUAACUGAAAACUUACAGUUCUGAAUUUUAAUUCACUGACAAAUAACUUUAUUAAAAUAAAAUUAUGAUUGCCUGUGGUGUCUCACAUCCUUCCAGAAGACUGAGUUUAAAAACCUACAGACUUUGGAGAGAGAGGGUAGCAAGAAAUAAAUGCACAAAACAACUUUGGUCUGCUUCCCUCCAAGCAAAACUUCCUGUACAAAUUCAAGUUGAAUAUGGUCUUGGAGGUGAGAAAGGAAUGGGGAUUAUGUAAAGCCAGUGGUGGGAACAAUGACUGGUGGAGUCUGGAACAGCAGAAGAAGAGAACACUAAAGGCAGGAAAUAGAGAGCAGCUAUCAACAGUAAUUUAAAGAAAAAAGUAAAAAUGCAAAGUGUCCAUAUAGCAUUUUCAAAGAGAUGAAAAUAAACUGGAAGGAUGAAAUAGGGAUUAUCAAUCAGUGUAGGAAUAUGCCUCUUUCCACCUCUCUCAAUAUAAGCAUCAAGUUAAGCAUUGUCAGUAGAAUAUUUUUAUCCUUCUCAAAUAAAGUUAUGAGUAACAGUCCUGAUGCCAUGAACAUGACAUAAGUGCUCAGCUAUGCCUGGUUCUCCCUGCUGCUGAAUAAAAUAUUGUAAUCAGUGUAGUGGAAGAUUUCACAUUUUAAUGAUGCAUCUUGAGAUGUACAACAGUUCCCUUUUAAAUUUGGUUCGGUGUGAUUCCUGCAACCUCAAAAAUGGGUGAUAGCAAGAAUAAACUCACUGACAGUUGUGGCAGUAGAGUAUUCUUGAUGGCAAUGGUUAAUGAUGCAUCUAUAUACUGGAUUUAGGCCUCUGUAGAGAAUCCCAGUCUUGGCAUGAAGUAUUUCUUCAGUUUGAUAGGCAGCAACAGUAAACUGCACUGAUGUUUGGCUUUCCAUAACGAUGACAUUGCGAAGCAGGGAGGUGAAAUUCCCCUUUACUCAAACAUCACAUCUUGUUUAAAGAAAUAGCAUUUGCUUGUUUUAUUUAUACAAGUGUAGAGGAGACUGAUUUCUAUACAAAAGAAGCAUUGAAUGCAGUUCUGUUUUAUUCUCCAACAGAACACCAUAUGAAAAGGGUGAAAAGGAACUGUGUGUAGGCCCAGUCCCCAGUGAAGGUUACAUAACUCUGUGAUGUGUCACUGAAGGCACCCCAAAACAUACCAUUAUAGUAGUCAACCUAUUGCUUGCUUUAUUGUGCCAAAGCAUUUAUAGAGAAGCUCAUCCUCCUCCUUGUACUCUUUCUGCUGCAGACUGUUUGAAGGGGAAAGAGUAAAUAAACAUAGGCCAAAACAACGUUUCUCCUCACUCAGCAGAAAUGUCUGUACACAAAUGCUGAGAAAACACUGUGCUAUUCUUCUGAAGUUCUUUGCAGGACAGAAAACAAACAAUCAAAUGAUGUGCACAGAUUAGCAUCUAUCUCAUCCUAAUAGCAGUCAGCUCUUCAGAGACAACUCAGCCAUUUUAAGGGAGGAAAAAUACAAAAACCACAUACAAAACCCACACAACCUCUUUCAAAAUGUAAAACAAAAAAUGUGACUGAAAAACUAUGGGGAGGUAUAUUGAACAAAACACACUCUUUUCAAUCAGUGAUGUUAAUGAACUUCACUCUGAAAAGUAUUUUUAGACGCAACAUGACAACUUUUUUAAAAGGAAAUAAAUUAAAAGACCUAAUUAAUUCAAGACAGUAAGGAAGAAUUCUAAAAAUUUCUAGGAGUACCCAAGUGGUCGUGUUGGACCGAGAAUCACACAGUCAGGAGCUUUUCUAGCCAGGCUAUCAAAGCCAUCUAAUGUCUAUUUCUUGCAUUAAACAUUUACCUGUUCACUCUGUCCCUUCCUACUGGUUUGGGCUCAGUCUGUUUUCUACGCUGUUGCUUGCACGGUGCUGUUUUGGAUCUGUGUCCAAACCAGUACUUCAUAUUGUAGCUACUGCUAUUGCAGUGCUUACACAGUACCAAGGCCUUCUCUCUUGCAUGCUAUCCCUCCCAGCAGCUAGGCCUUGGGUGCACAAGGAGCUGGGAGGGGACACAGCCAGGACACUGACCCAAACUGGCCAUGGGGAUGUCCCAUAACUUAUGACAUCAGGAUCAGCAAUGAAAAUCUCAGGAAAAGGAUGAAAGGUAAAACAUUUGGAGUUGCAGUCCUUGCCUUCCCAAACAAACAGAAAACAUUAUGGUAAGCUUUCCUGGAUAUGGCUAAAUGUCUGUCUUCUGGGGUUAACCCACAGCCAAUAUUUAAAAUACCCAGUUAUUUUGAUUAGUAGCAAAAAUAGCAAUUUAUAUCUUUAUUUUCCUCUUUCACCUCUCUUUUUUUUCCCAGUUAUUACUAGAAAUCUGAAUGCAUUAACUACUACUAGCUACUAAAGAAAGAAUACAAAUGUCAGGCUUACAAGAUCACAAAAUAUUUGUCUCUAAAUCUGUCAACUUAGUGUAGAGAAAAAGUACCCUGAAUACAAGUGGUCUGAACUGCAUCAUCUGCCUAAUUUUAUUAAUAUUUCAUUCACACUUCUGCUUCUACUUCACUCCUACAGACCCCUUCAGCUUAUUAAUUUUUUGUUUACAAGGUAAUUGAAAAUGUAGCCAGGAAUAUUAGUCAUUUGUUUUAUCUGUGACUAACAAAAUAAAAAGGCAUUCACAAGAGCAGAUGACUUUUCAAAUCCCAUCCUAAGAGACAUAAGCUAAUCCACUACACUGAUAAAGAAAGAUUGAUUUAGAUUCAUAUAUACAAUAAAAAUCCUCUAAAAUAAUUCUUCAUAUCCAGCCAAAAGCCAAAUCAAAAAAUAAAUUAUAUUACAUAGCUCGACACAGAAAUACAAUGGUUAAAAUUGCAUAUGCCUAAUGAGAUCAAACUCCUACUGUCUUCCAUUUGAGAGUACAAAUCUACAUGAAAUAAAAUACCAUGCAAAAACAUUUACCUAUUCCCUAGCUGUACUUUGCUGUUUAAAAGACUGUUCUAGAACAUCAGGAUAGUAUGCACAAAAAUAAAUAUGUUCUGUACUUGCAUAUACUCCAUUAAUAAUAACCGCUAUGGUAGUGAAUAAUAAACAUUCAGGUAGGUUGAAAACCAGUGUUCUGAUAGAAAUGCAUUAAAGAUGUAAGCAUAGGUCUUACUAGCUGUCAGAAGUUAAGCUCAGGGAAAGAUCAGUAAUUUGUUAUUGUUUUCAAAGUAAAUAAAAAAUAAGUAACAGGCAUCUCUGCCUCUGAAAUUUUCAUUAAGCCCAUGUAAGACCUUUGGAAUGUGUCUUCAAAUCGUCCAGCUAUCUGCAAUAAUGACAUAAUUUUGCAGAGAAAAAUUAUUUGACAAGUUAUUAAAAUAUUGACAUGAAAAGAAGUUGAGAAAGAGGUAGCAAAUACUUUGUAUUUUGUGAAUUUAUUGUUCCUCCAGGAACAAAAAGGAAUUUCAAGCUUUGAAUACUAAAAUAUGCUACUAAAAAUUAUCUCCCCUAUGUUCCAGGUAAAAUAGUAUCAGACUGAGUCAAAGGAGAUAAAUGACUAGGCAAGACACCCCGCACAAUAUCAGAGUGAGGUUGUCAAGGGGAGGGUAGGGAGUAAGAGAAAAUUGCAUUUUGAAACUAUUUCACUGUCACAGGAAAAAAAUAGAACUUUCCACUUGAUACUAGUGCCUCUCAAACGUUAAUCCCAAUUAAUCAACCAAAAACAGCACUUGAUCCUCCUUCAGAAUUGAUCUAGGAAAUAAAUGUGUGCACUAUGUAUAAGCCUGUGUUCAACUUUUUUUUUUUUUUUUCUGGCACUCAUACAGAUUUAAAAGACAAGUUACAUGGACAUUCUUACACAGAUAACAUUAUGGGCCAAAUGACCAUUCUUUCAUGCUCCUCUUAUCUUUUUCUGGGAAACUCCAGGGAUUGCCAUCAAGAUCACAGAAUCAUAGAAUGGUUUGGGUUGGAAGGGACCUCUAAGAUCAUCUGGUUCAAACCCGAGCUCUCAGCCUGUCCUUACAGGGGAGGUGCUCCAGCCCUCAGAUCAUCUUCAUGGCCCUCCUCUGGCCUUGCUCCAGAUGUGAAGACACAUCCGGAGUUUCUCUUUCAGCAGGUUCUACAUUGCAAGCAGUAGGGGGUUUUGCAACAUGAAUUUAAUUUGGUAACAAUGACAUGAGGAGAUAUGGAUGUACACACAAAUUGCCACUUUCCCUAAUAACAGUUUAAAGAUUUGUAAACUUCAAAAUGGGAUUUAUCAUACCAGUAAUCUUUCUUUCACCAUAUUUUUCUUCUGCUAAUACACAUUCAUAACCUCAUCAUUUGCUUCAACAUGAUAUUCUGAACUUAACUUUGUUUAUAAACCAAUAAAUCCUUCCAAAUCUUGUUAACCUUUAGUUACCUUGUUAUUACCUGACAUGGCAAUUAAUACUAAAUUCUAAAUAUUUUCAGCCAUUGAAUAGCCAUUAUCUUAACCUAUAAUCUUUAGUCAGAUAAGCAUAAUUCUUUUUCCACAAAGUACUUCAAAAAGCAGCAGCCAGUAACUGAAAUGUUAACCUUUUACUUCCAUAUCAUGCUGAUAAGUACAAUGAAUAAAAUAAAAUAAAUUUUGCCACCACUUUUAAUGGCUCUUUUUUUUUAAAAAUCUAAUUAAUAUAUUCUUCUUAACAAGACAAGUGGUGAUAAGCUUCUAGAUUUUAAAUCUCCCCUUGAAAGCUCCACUUUCUUCAUCAGAGACUUCUCUGAGAAAUGCUUUGGACUUGUACACAACUAAAUGACAACACGGGGCGCUGCAGGAUAUGGCUAGCAUAGCAUUCUACAUAUCAACCAGAAAUAGAAGAGGUUAUUUUGGGAUCUUGCCCUUAAUCAUAUUUAAGCAUAGAUUCCAGAGGCUGUGGAAUAAUCACAGUACCUUGAAUCCUGUCUCGUAUCUUCAAACACACAUUUUACUGCUUUCUCCAUUUGGAAACUCUACUGAAGAACACUGAUUACACCGAUCUUAGUUUCAGAAAUAGCAAGCUAAAGCAUACUCUUAUGAGAGCUAGAAGACACAAAAUAAAACAUAAUAAAGGUCUUUUGUGGCAUACGAAUUUGCUCUCUGUUCCAAACGCUAGUCUGAACAAAGGCCUAGGACUGAGCUACCCAGAGCCCAAGGAAUUUGAUGAGUUUUCAUGAAGAAAAACUUAGAGCAUUGUGCUCCUGAGCAAAAAGUUUGCAGCUCCAGCUCUAAGCAAUACAAACAAAUUUAGGCUUUAGCAUCCAAGGGUAGCAAAGCCUGGAGAAGAUCUCAGGAAUGACAAUA
Non-coding RNA from Meleagris gallopavo (turkey), 6625 nucleotides. The record is from RefSeq and is a predicted model, not a curated record. Lineage: Eukaryota; Metazoa; Chordata; Aves; Galliformes; Phasianidae.